RNAcentral lists this ribosomal RNA (454 nucleotides) under uncultured archaeon. Its description in RNAcentral is "bacterial SSU rRNA". It matches the Rfam family "Archaeal small subunit ribosomal RNA", at positions 927 to 1379 of the family's 1478-position model. The record is from RNAcentral.
UUACCCGGAGAGACAGCAGAAUGAAGGUCAAGCUGAAGACUUUNCCAGACAAGNUGAGAGGUGGUGCAUGCCCGUCGCCAGCUCGUGCCGUGAGAUGUCCUGUUAAGUCAGGUAACGAGCGAGAUCCCUGCCACUAGUUGCUAUCAUUAUUCUCAGGAAUAGUGGGGCGAAUUAGUGGGACUGCCGUUGUUAAAACGGAGGAAGGAAGGGGCUACGGCAGGUCAGUAUGCCCCGAAACUCUGAGGCCACACGCGGGCUGCAAUGGUAGUGACAAUGAGUUCCAAACUCGAAAGAGAGUGGCAAUCUCUAAACGCUACCACAGUUAUGACUGAGGGCUGUAACUCGCCCUCACGAAUAUGGAAUCCCUAGUAACCGCGUGUCAUUACCGCGCGGUGAAUACGUCCCUGCUCCUUGCACACACCGCCCGUCGUUUCAUCGAAGUUUGCUUUAGCGA